GUGAACGCUGGCGGUAGGCCUAACACAUGCAAGUCGAACGGCAGCACCGUAAGAGCUUGCUCUUACGGGUGGCGAGUGGCGGACGGGUGAGGAAUACAUCGGAAUCUACUUUUUCGUGGGGGAUAACGUAGGGAAACUUACGCUAAUACCGCAUACGACCUACGGGUGAAAGCAGGGGAUCUUCGGACCUUGCGCGAUUGAAUGAGCCGAUGUCGGAUUAGCUAGUUGGCGGGGUAAAGGCCCACCAAGGCGACGACCCGUAGCUGGUCUGAGAGGAUGAUCAGCCACACUGGAACUGAGACACGGUCCAGACUCCUACGGGAGGCAGCAGUGGGGAAUAUUGGACAAUGGGCGCAAGCCUGAUCCAGCCAUACCGCGUGGGUGAAGAAGGCCUUCGGGUUGUAAAGCCCUUUUGUUGGGAAAGAAAAGCAGCAGGUUAAUACCCCGCUGUUCUGACGGUACCCAAAGAAUAAGCACCGGCUAACUUCGUG
RNAcentral lists this ribosomal RNA (491 nucleotides) under uncultured bacterium. Its description in RNAcentral is "partial 16S ribosomal RNA". It matches the Rfam family "Bacterial small subunit ribosomal RNA", at positions 29 to 507 of the family's 1533-position model. The record is from RNAcentral.